RNAcentral lists this ribosomal RNA (77 nucleotides) under uncultured cyanobacterium. RNAcentral's name for it is "partial 16S ribosomal RNA". It matches the Rfam family "Bacterial small subunit ribosomal RNA", at positions 1457 to 1533 of the family's 1533-position model. The record is from RNAcentral. Lineage: Bacteria; Bacillati; Cyanobacteriota.
CCGAGGUGGGGCUGAUGACUGGGGUGAAGUCGUAACAAGGUAGCCGUACCGGAAGGUGCGGCUGGAUCACCUCCUAG